Molecule: microRNA, 22 nt
Filed under: Sarcophilus harrisii (Tasmanian devil)
Lineage: Eukaryota; Metazoa; Chordata; Mammalia; Dasyuromorphia; Dasyuridae
Description: Sha-Mir-430-o23_5p* (star (passenger))
Source: RNAcentral
AUCCUAACUCAGAGCACUUAUA